Molecule: ribosomal RNA, 118 nt
Organism: Ursus americanus (American black bear)
Lineage: Eukaryota; Metazoa; Chordata; Mammalia; Carnivora; Ursidae
Source: Ensembl
GUCUACAGCCAUACCACCCUAAACAUGCCUGAUCCCAUCUGAUCUCAGAAGCUAAGCAGGGUUGGACCUGGUUAGUAUCUGGAUGAGAAAAGUAUAUGGUAACUGGUAAUUGUAAUUU